AUUGAACGCUGGCGGCAGGCCUAACACAUGCAAGUCGAACGAGUGGCGGACGGGUGAGUAAUGGCUGGGAAACUGCCUGAUGGAGGGGGAUAACUACUGGCUACGGGAGCUAAUACCGCAUACCAUCAGAUGUGCCCAGGUGGGAUUAGCUUGUUGGUGGGGUAACGGCUAACCAAGGCGACGAUCCCUAGCUGGUCCGAGAGGAUGACCAGCCACACUGGAACUGAGACACGGUCCAGACUCCUACGGGAGGCAGAAGUGGGGAAUAUUGCACAAGGGGCGCAAGCCUGCUGAAGCCAUGCCGCGUGUAUGAAGAAGGCCUUCGGGUUGUAAAGUACUUUCAGCGGGGAGGCGGUACCCGAAGAAGAAGCACCGGCUAACUCCGUGCCAGCAGCCGCGGUAAUUC
RNAcentral lists this ribosomal RNA (406 nucleotides) under uncultured bacterium. RNAcentral's name for it is "partial 16S ribosomal RNA". It matches the Rfam family "Bacterial small subunit ribosomal RNA", at positions 30 to 526 of the family's 1533-position model. The record is from RNAcentral.